GACGAAGGUGGCUAGCGUUGUUCGGUGUCACUGGGCUUAAAGAGUAUGUAGGCGGAAAAGUAAGCGUUUUGUGAAAUCCCUCAGCUUAACUGAGGAAUUGCUUGGCGAACUGCUUUUCUUGAGGCAAGUAGGGGUGCAUGGAACUCUUGGUGGAGCGGUGGAAUGCGUAGAUAUCAAGAGGAACGCCGGUGGUGAAGACGGUGCACUGGGCUUGUCCUGACGCUCAGAUACGAAAGCGUGGGGAGCAAACAGG
RNAcentral lists this ribosomal RNA (253 nucleotides) under uncultured bacterium. RNAcentral's name for it is "partial 16S ribosomal RNA". It matches the Rfam family "Bacterial small subunit ribosomal RNA", at positions 524 to 776 of the family's 1533-position model. The record is from RNAcentral.